This 1341-nucleotide long non-coding RNA is filed under the name Panax ginseng (ginseng). RNAcentral's name for it is "long non-coding RNA (PGIN_LNC003513)". The record is from RNAcentral. Lineage: Eukaryota; Viridiplantae; Streptophyta; Magnoliopsida; Apiales; Araliaceae.
AUUAAUUUCCUAUAAUCCGUGGUUUUCGAGCUUUAGAUUUCAUAGAGGAAAGCUCAAAUCUAACCUGAAAUGGCAAUCGAUGGCAUCGGAACCUGAAUCGUCUUCAUUUUCUCCUCCAGUUGAUUCUGAUGCAGCUGAUAAAAACGCCGUUGGGUAAAAUAGUCUCUACCUAGAACUAUUUUUCAGUAAUUUCCUUUCUUUUCUCGAUUUCCCUGACUCUGGUUCAAUUAAAUGGUUUCCAUUACCAAUUAUUUGUUUGUGCAUUUAAAAUAUAUACAUGUUUUGAAUUUUUUUAAUAAUUGGAUGAUUUAGUAAAUAUUUUACCACAUUGAUAGAAAUGUUAGAGAAGUGUAAUGGAGGGGAGAAUUUAAACACACACACGUACACACAGUAAUUUUUUUUGUUCUAGUGCUCCUUUUUUUUUUUGUAUUACUUGGAUUUCUUGUUUUUUAGUACAUUCAACCAAAAAUUACUCAGUUCUUGGUGCUAUGCUUGGAUUCAUUUUUGUUCUGGUUUUUGUGUACUGUAUCGGAGCAAACCCCGUUUGGCUUUGGACUGGGAGAUUCGCUAUUGUAUUGCUCUUGGUAUUGCUCUAGGCCUGUCCUACCUUCAUGGUGUUUGUGUGCCACAAAUCAUUCAUGAAUUUGGACAAGGUAUUUUGGGCAUGGAGACUAAGAAAAUUUUUAGGAUUCGAAAGGUAAGUGCAUUAUGCAACUUAAAAAAUAAUUCCAUGGCCCAAGGAAUCUUUAGACUAGGCAGUAUAAUGUUAAUAAAGAGCUAAACUUCAAGAAUUUACAGUAGAACGAGUAUUCCACAUAAAGAAUACUCAGUAAACGAAUGUACUCAAAAACGAAUGCACUAUGCAGUAUUAUAUAUGUACAAUGCAGGCGGGGUUCAGGUUUGGGACAACAGCAUACAUGUGCUUCAUGUUUUCACCACGACGCUGAUGGGGAUCCUGUUGGGAAUGCUUGUGUUCUCGGUGACUGGUUACGAUGACCAUAGCCGUAAUGCACUAAUUUUUGAAGGUUUGUUAGGCUCUUUAUCUUUGGGUAUACUUAUCUACAUGGCUCUUGUGGAUCUCAUAGCUCUACAUGGUUAUCUUCUCUUGGAUUUUUUGAUAGGGAACUUACAGCACACAUAUACUUUCCUUAGCUGUCCUCUUAUCCAGCAUGUUCAUAUACAACCAGGUUUGAAAAAAUAUAAUGUUUGGCCUUGAUUGUUUUCUUUUGAAGGCUCAAUUUAUUUGGAUUAGUUCCUUAUCUGCCUUUAUGUACAUGAAGAGUCUAAUACAAGCAGGACCAUCAUGCCGAUCAAAUUUCAGGUCUGAUCAGUCAUGUCAAC